This 535-nucleotide ribosomal RNA is filed under the name uncultured bacterium. Its description in RNAcentral is "bacterial SSU rRNA". It matches the Rfam family "Bacterial small subunit ribosomal RNA", at positions 777 to 1314 of the family's 1533-position model. The record is from RNAcentral.
AAUAGAUACCCGGGUAGUCCACGCCGUAAACGAUGAGUGCUAAGUGUUGGGGGGUUUCCGCCCCUCAGUGCUGCAGCUAACGCAUUAAGCACUCCGCCUGGGGAGUACGGUCGCAAGACUGAAACUCAAAGGAAUUGACGGGGGCCCGCACAAGCGGUGGAGCAUGUGGUUCAAUUCGAAGCAACGCGAAGAACCUUACCAGGUCUUGACAUCCCGGUGACCACUAUGGAGACAUAGUUUCCCCUUCGGGGGCAACGGUGACAGGUGGUGCAUGGUUGUCGUCAGCUCGUGUCGUGAGAUGUUGGGUUAAGUCCCGCAACGAGCGCAACCCUUAUUCUUAGUUGCCAUCAUUCAGUUGGGCACUCUAAGGAGACUGCCGGUGAUAAACCGGAGGAAGGUGGGGAUGACGUCAAAUCAUCAUGCCCCUUAUGACCCGUGGCUACACACGUGCUACAAUGGACGGUACAACGGUUGCCAACCGCGAGGGAGCUAAUCCGAUAAACCGUUCUCAGUUCGUAUUGUAGGCUGCAACUCG